AUCUUUUUGUAGUUCAUGAACAUGAUGAUUGGAUGUUCAUGCACAUGUGUGAGAUGUGCCACCCUCUGAAUCUUGUUAUGACAUCAGCACAUUAUCCAUCUGACC
This is a small nucleolar RNA of Cercocebus atys (sooty mangabey), 105 nucleotides long. The record is from Ensembl. Lineage: Eukaryota; Metazoa; Chordata; Mammalia; Primates; Cercopithecidae.